AGGGGGCACGCGGCGUCUCUCUGGUUCUCUCCCCCGGUCUCCUUCUGUCUUCGAAACUUGCCUGACCUCCCUCUGGUUGUCUCCUGCCCCGCCCUCUGUCUCUGUCUCCCCAUCUCUGUUGCUGUCUCUGUGUCCCCUGGGACCUUGAAAGUGGGUAUUGGGGCCCCGGGAAGGGACUUUGGCCGGACUCGGGCCCCACCCGAGUGGAUCGUUAACCCAGGAUGUGAGAAGUGGCUGUGUGGAGAGGCCUCACCCCUUCCCUUCCUUUCGACCUCUCUCUGGAUCUCCCUUAUCCCCCUUCAUGGCGAAACAUCCCGAGCACAGACCUGUGUUAAUUCCACCUCCACCCCUUGCUCCCGGUGGGACCUCAGACAAGCCAUCCCCUGCCUUGAGACUCAGUUUGUUCUUCUGGAAAAUGGGACCAAUGGCAACCCCUGCCUGCUGGUGUUGUGGGGGCCACAGCAAGGGAAGAGGGGAGGAAUUCGGUUGGACAGGCUGGGGGCUGUGUUCCCUGCCCAUCCAACCCCACCCCUGGGGACCCUCAGACACAGGAGAGGGGUGUGGAGCACUAUCCCAAUGCACAGAAAGGAAAGCUGAGGUUUGGAGGGGCGAGGCUUAGGGUGGGGACCCUCAGAGGUAGGGUGGGAAGGACACCCAAGCCUGUCCCACUCCUGGCAUCCCAGGGCAGCUGGUGCAGUGGUUCCAACCUAGCAGGACUGUAGAGGGGAGAAGAUGUGAUGGGUCCGGUGGGAGCUUCGAAGGGCUGGGAGAGACGGUGCUGCUGGAAGAGAGGGUGCUGAUGGUUCUCUGAGGUUGGAAGAGGGAUAAAAGGGUCAGAAGGAGGAGGAUCUGAAGAAGGAAGAUAGGUCUGAGAGAGAAGUAGAUGGUUUAGUGGGAGGAGGGGGAGAGGAUCUGAAGGAGGAGGACAGGGUCUGUUGGAGGAGGUAAGGGUCUGAUGGAGGAAAUAAGGGUCUGAGGGUGGAGGCGAGGUUUGGAGGGAGGAGGUGAAGGUCUGAGGGAGGAGACAAGGGUCUGAAGGAGGAGAUAAGAGUCUGAGGAAGGAGGCGAGGGUUUGAGAGAGGAGGUGAGGGUCUGAAGGAGGAGGAGGAGAUAAGCAUGUGAGGAAGGAGGUGAGGGUUUGAGAGAGGAGGUGAGGGUCUAAAGGAGGAGGUAAGGGUCUGAAGGUGGAGGUGAGGUUUGGAGGGAGGAGGUGAGGGUUUGAGAGAAUAGGUGAGGGUUUGAAGGAGGAGGUAAGGGUCUGAGGGAGGAGGAGAGAGUUGGAGGGGAAAGAAGGGUCUGAGGAAAGAAGAUUUGGAGAGAGUCUGAGGGUAGAGGCCAGAUCUGAGGGAGAAGAAAGAGGCUCAGGGGAAAAGAUCUGAGGGUCCGAGGGUGGAAGGCAUGGACUAGGGGAGGAGGAGCUGGUGGGGUGGAGGGGUGGAGAGGCGUGCCUCCGGAGCCAGCAGGGACCAAGGGGAGGGAAGGGAAGGGAGGCUGGGAGGCAGCCCCGCCCUGCAGCUGUCUCUAAUUUCCCAGAAUCUUCUGCUCUCAGGAAAGUCCCAGCUCCCACAGCAGCCUCCCUCCAAUGUCGGGAACGGAGGAUGCGGAACCAGGAUGGCCACCCCCACCCUCCCCCGGCUCCUUGCACCCCAGGCGGAAAGGACUAGGGUCUCCUUUCUCUGGGCCUUGGCCUCUGGAGGGCCCCCACCCGCAGGGGCAGCCCCUGGAUGAGUCUUAGAAACUUCCCAGAGGAGGCCAGGAAGUUCUGCUUGGUGUCUAACCACUUUCCCCUCAUGCAGGCCGCCCUUUGUACCUGUUCAGAUCUCCUCCCCAGCUGCUGUUUCUUUUUCCCCAACCCAUCCUGGGGGAGGAAAGGCCAGGAAUUUACCUGCUCAAAGUCCUGAGAGGGAAACGAAAUUCCAUCUGGAAGUCUGUAGGCUUGAGGCAGCUUUCUUGCUCUCAGGGGCCUCAAUUUCCCUUUCUAAGAGGAGAGAGUAGGGCUGGUCAGGGCCUAAGUUCCCAUCUGGCUCAAUUACUGGGUCUUGUCCUGCUUUUUUUUUGAGACAAGAUCUGGCUCUGUCUCCCAGGCUGAAGUGCAGUGGUGAGAUCAUAGCUCACUGUAGCCUUGAACUCCUGGACUCAAAUGAUCCUCCUGCCUCAACCUCCCAAGUAGGUGGGACUACAGGCAUGUGCCGCAAUGACUGGCUAAUAAAAAAAACAAUUUGUAGACUCAGGGGGUCUCACUGUGUUGCCCAGGGUGUUCUCGAACUCCUGGGCUCAAGCGAACCUCCCUCCUCGGUCUCCCAAAGUGCUGGGAUUACAGGCGUGAGCCACCGCAUCUGGCUU
Molecule: long non-coding RNA, 2343 nt
Filed under: Homo sapiens (human)
Lineage: Eukaryota; Metazoa; Chordata; Mammalia; Primates; Hominidae
Description: HSALNT0260553
Source: RNAcentral